AGUGAACGCUGGCGGUAGGCCUAACACAUGCAAGUCGAACGGCAGCACAGUAAGAGCUUGCUCUUACGGGUGGCGAGUGGCGGACGGGUGAGGAAUACAUCGGAAUCUACUUUUUCGUGGGUGAUAACGUAGGGAAACUUACGCUAAUACCGCAUACGACCUACGGGUGAAAGCAGGGGAUCUUCGGACCUUGCGCGAUUGAAUGAGCCGAUGUCGGAUUAGCUAGUUGGCGGGGUAAAGGCCCACCAAGGCGACGAUCCGUAGCUGGUCUGAGAGGAUGAUCAGCCACACUGGAACUGAGACACGGUCCAGACUCCUACGGGAGGCAGCAGUGGGGAAUAUUGGACAAUGGGCGCAAGCCUGAUCCAGCCAUACCGCGUGGGUGAAGAAGGCCUUCGGGUUGUAAAGCCCUUUUGUUGGGAAAGAAGAGCAGCAGGUUAAUACCCCGCUGUUCUGACGGUACCCAAAGAAUAAGCACCGGCUAACUUCGUG
Molecule: ribosomal RNA, 492 nt
Filed under: uncultured bacterium
Lineage: Bacteria
Description: partial 16S ribosomal RNA
Rfam family: Bacterial small subunit ribosomal RNA
Source: RNAcentral